RNAcentral lists this long non-coding RNA (20246 nucleotides) under Vitis vinifera (wine grape). RNAcentral's name for it is "long non-coding RNA (VVIN_LNC001352)". The record is from RNAcentral. Lineage: Eukaryota; Viridiplantae; Streptophyta; Magnoliopsida; Vitales; Vitaceae.
UGCUUGUUACUGAAUUUUAGUAAUUUACCUGCCAAAAAGUGGUUGAAUGUUGAUGUGAGAUAAGGAUGUACAAAAGAAUGAAAAUGGAAAAGUUCCAUGAGACUAGUUCAGGGUUCACAUGAGGUGAAGCCAUUUUUUGAUAAAUGGCUUGUUUGGGUGUUGAAAUUUAGGGUUUUUGAUUGAUUUUUGGACCUGGAGGAUCAUAGAAAAUUGACUGAUCUUCAACACAAGCUAUUAAUUAGAGUAUUGAUCAUGGGAUCAUUGGGCAAUAGCCCCCAAACUACACAUUAUUUCCAUCCAUAACUAAUAACAUGCCCAUUUUCAGAUCUUAGAACCCAAAGAAAAAACUAGUUUUAUUUUAACAGAAAGGAAGAAAGAUGCUGUUCUAAUGUAAAAUUGGAUCAGUGGAUAAAAGGCUAUACAUAGCAAAAUCAAUAGUUUCUUCAUUGAUACAGAGAUAUUUUCUGAGGACACCUUCCUUGAGGAACCCAGCCUUUUCCAAUACCCUCUGUGAGGCCUUAUUAUUCACAUCAACAAUACCUUCAGUUCUCUCCAGAUCUGGGAACUCUUCAAACGCACUUGAAACAGCCCUUUUCACGGCCAGUGUGGUUAUGCCUCAGCCCCAGUACAUUGAUCCAAGAGCAUAGCUGAUCGUUCCCCGGCAUUUCCCCAUGGAAGAACCUGGCAUAAUGGAAAUGAAUCCAAUUGGGCGGCCACCCAAGCAUAUGGCUCGGUACCAUGGGUGGGGUAUGGCAUCCUCCUUCAGAUAGUUCGAUGCAUCGUCCUUAGAGGAGUGGUGCCUCAGUCUGCAACUUCUGGUCACCUUAUUGUCACAGGCCCAUUCCAUGAGUCACAUCUACAUCUGCAAGCUGAUAUGGACGCAGAGUGAUUUCCAUCAACCGAUCAAAUGUCGUUGAUGAUUGGGCUAGGUUGGAGGUCUAUCCAGAUGUGGUGUGAAGAGGAAAGGGAUAAUGUGGUGGGAAGAGAAAAGGGAUUUACAUAUAUAUAUGUAUGAUUAGUACGAAAAUACAUAUAUUUUGAUACAUAAGGGGCAUAAGAAGAUCUUUCAAUACGUCAAUUUGAAAAAUAGAGCAUGAAAACUAAAAUUAUCUUUACUUUAAAUGGCUUGAGAAGUGGAGAAAUUUAAAGACAAAGUAAGGAAUAUCUAUAGAAAUAAAAAACUUUUUUUUUUUUUUUUUUUUUACUGAUGACAUAAAAUUACCUAAUGAAUUUUCUCUUUUAUGUGAGAUAAAAUGUGUCAUUACUAAAUGUAUCAUCACCUCGUUUAUGCACUAGCCAAGAUCGAUGAUAAUGCAUUUGCACGUCUUAUACAAAAAUACACAUGAAAAGACAUGAGAAAAAAAGAAAGUCAAAAUUAGCACUAAGAACUAUAAAAAUGCAAGAUAUACAUAUUGGAUAUAUGUAGUUUUAGUUUCAAUAAGGUCAUCUACUAGUGGUUCAUUUACACCUAGAAAUAUUUUAUCUCGACACAUAUCAAAAGCUUCAAACUAAGAAAGCAAAUCCAUUUUGAGUGCUAAGGAUUGGGUGAGAAUUUCUAAUUUUCCAAAGCUUUCUUCAAGAUUGCAUUUUAGUCUAAUAUUUAAUAUGGAAAAUUUAUUUGUCUACCAUGGUCAUCAAGAUAAGUAAGGGUAGAAUUAGAUCUUUAAUUGCCAUGCCACCUAAUCCUAUCCCCAAGUCCUAAGAUUGAGUAUCUUUUUAAUGAUCAACUUGUGUCUACUUUACGUAAGGUGAUAUAAAAAACUUAUGGUAAAAUGGCAAGGCAAAUCACAUCAUGAAAAAUGCAUAGAUUACAAUAAUGGAUUUUCAUAAGCUUAACCUAAUUUCUAUUUAUUAUAUCAAGGAUCUAACUUGUUAAAGUCGUGUUCUCUAAGUUAGAGAGAAUUGAUGGGAUAAAGCCUUUUAAAGUAUAUUUAAGAAAGGAAAUAAAUAAAUAAACUUUAAGUAAGAUUAAUGUUAGUUGAAAUUAAAAUAGGAUCAAUAUUUGUUAGAAUAUUUAAAAUAGUAGUAGCUAAUUAUUAAAGUCAUGAUAGGUAAUUAGAAUUUUAGUAGAAUUUGGGUUUCUUAAAGAAGCUUAUAAAUAAGGUUAAUUGAUGUAAAAUCAAGAUAUUGCAAGUGUUACAAUUCUCAAUGAUCCGACUCCAUUUUUUUUUCUUCUAGAUAACAUUCCUAGAGGACCUUAGUGAGAUUCUAAAGCUUAGUUUGAGAAGUGUUUUAAAAAAACAAAUUGUGAAAAACAAUUUUUGAGAAUAAUUUUUUAAAACCGCUUUUGAAAAAUAUUCUUUGAUAUUUUGUAAAAUAAAAGUUUGUUUAAGAACCUGAGUUUUCUAUGUUUUUAAAUAUGUCUAAAUAAUAACUUUUGUGUGUAAUGCUUUAUUUUUAAUCAUUCUCCAAAUUUGUAUAAUUGUUUUUCAAAAUAACAUUAGAAAAUAAGUAAAAGAAAAAAAAAAUAACUAAAAGAUAUUAUCUAAAAACACUAUAUUUUUUGUUUUUAAGAAUAUAAAAUUAUUUUUUAUUUUUAAGCACAAAAAUCAUUUAAAAAAAAGUGUAUUUUUAUUUUUUAUUUUCAAAUGUAUUUUUUUAAGGAUAAAAAAUUCUUUUUAAAAAUAAUUCCCAAACAGACUAAGAUUUCUAUCUUUUAUUUCCUUUUAUCUUAUUUCUUCAUAUUUUUAUUUUAUCAUCACUAUCAUAAACUUUAUCCCUUAUUCCUCUCAUUAAACCCUAAGACUCUGUUUGGUUGGCAUUUGACAAGAUAUGAUACGAUAAAACAUGUAUAUCUUAAGAUAUUAUAUCACAUUAAAUAAGAAGUAUAUAUUAUAGGAUAUUAUUUUCAAUGGAAUAUGAUAUCCUUGAAUAUACAUAUUUUAUGAAAAUGAUAUUUUAAGGUCGUAUAUCUAAUUAAAUAUGUUAUAUUAUAUUAUAUUUAUGUUUAAUUUAUUAAAUGAAUAAAAACUAAUAUGAUGUAAUUUUCAUUUUAAACAUUAAAAAUAAUUUAUAUUUCAUAUUAUUAUUUUCAUUUCACAAAUUAAAUAUACACAUAAUAUAACAUAGUAUAUCCCAUUGGAUAUGUUAUCUUAAAAUAUCAUAUUCAUAAGAUAUGUGUAUUAAAAAAAAUAUCAUAUCCCAUUGAAAAUAAUAUUUUAAGAUAUACAUAUUCUAUCCUAUCUUAUCAACUAAAUGUAAUCUAAGGUUAUAUUUAAUUGACUAGAUAUAAUGUUGAGAUAAGAUGAUGAGAUACAAUUUAAACUCUAGGGUCAUGUUUGGUUGAAUGGAUAUAAUAUGAGAUAUGAUAAAAGAAGUAUAUUAUAUUUUAUCUUAUGUUUAAUCAAAUAUGAGAUAUGAUAAGUAGAAUGAUAUAUUAACCCAUUUUUUUUAUAUCACUUCUACAUAGAAUAUGUUGAUCUUAUACUAAGAUAUAGGAUAUACAUAUCUCAUAUAUCAUAACUUUAGUUUUUCUAGUCAAAUUUUUAUUUUUUUUAUAAACUCAUUUAGCAAAAUAAUUUUUUAUUAUAAAUUAAAUUUAUGAUUAAAAAAGAAUACUAAUAUAUAUGUAUAUGUAUAUGUAUAUGUAUAUGUAUAUAUUAAAUAACAUAAUAUAAAAAAAAAUUUACUUGUAAAAUUUAAAUAUUUUAAUAAUGAAUAUUGUUAAGAGAUAAGAGAAAUUCCAAUUCUUAAAUAGAAAAUAUUGAAAUGUAAUAUAAAUUUUAUUUUAAAAUUGAAAAACAAUAUAUAUUUUAUGUUAAUUUUUAUUUAUUUCACAAAUUAAAUAUAAGUAUAAUAUAACCUAAUAUAUUCCAUUGAAUAUAUUACCUUAGGAUAUUAUAUGAUAUACAUAUCUUAGGAUAUGUAUUUCAUUUUUUAUCCAAUAAGAUAUAAUAUUUUAUGAUAUACAUCUUAUUAACAAAAUAUGGUCUAAUAUUAUGUUUGGUUGACUACACUUAUUUUAUCCUAUGUUCAAUUAAAUAUGAAAUAGAAUAAGUGGUGAAAUUAAUUAUCUAUUCUCUUAUUUAUAUCACUUGAUAUUUUAAUAUUAAGCUAACAUAUAGGAUAUACAUAAAUUUAUUUAUUUAUAUUACUUUUUAACUUUUUUAUAUUACUUAUUUUUUAAAAUAAUUUUUAUUAUAAAAUUAAAUAGAAAAUAUUGUAAUAUAAUAAAAAUUUUAUUUUAAACAUCUUAUAUUUAGUUAUUUUGAAAAUCUCAAAAUUUAGAAGAGAAAUUAUCGAAUUUUAAAAAAAAAAUUUAAGGAUUUUUUGCUAUAAAAAAUUAUAAAAUUUAUUCCUUUAUAUUUUAUUUAUUUAUUUUUAUAAAAUCUAAAACUUUAUUUCAAUGUCCUUAAUGUUUUAGUUGUUUAAUUUUAAAUAUUUUUAUAAUUAAUAUUAAAAAUUACUUAAACAUUACAAUUUAUAGUGUGACUAUCGUAUAUUAUUUGAGUUAAUCUCGCUAAUAUCAUUUAACGUUUAGUAUAAAUAUAUUAAGCCAACAUCAAUUUUCAAAUUUCAUCUAUUAACACUCCUACAAAUAUAUUUGAUAUAUCAAAUUUCCUUUUUAGAAAAUUGUUAAAUAUACAUUCUUAAAAUCUUUUUACCUAAAAUUUAUUUAAAAACUAAAUUUUAUAAAUAUAAUAAAUUUAUAAGAAUACUAAUUGAUGAAAUUUAAAUCAAUAAUAAAUAAAUGUAUUUACAUCAAACCUCUUUAGGUUAUGCCAUUGGCUAUCCUAAUUGAGAAAACUACUUCUAACUUUCAAAAUUUAUAAGAGUAUGUGAUUGAUCUCAUCUUUAGAAUGAAAGAUACUAUGCCUUUUGAGUGGUUGAAAAAUAGAUUUGUUGAAUUCCUCCGAUUAAUGAAAAUUUCAAAUUAAAUUUUAACGAUUCAAGGGUACAGAAUAGUAAGUGCAUCAUGAUGGGUUAUUAGAGAUUUUAACGGUAUAAUAAAAAUAGUUGCAAGUAGGCAUAUGAACAAUGCGUCAAUAAUUAUUACAUAAUUUAUGACUUUUAAAAAUGGUGUAUUAGUUGCUAAGUUUUUAAAUCUAAAGACGGAAGGUGAUUUAAUAAAAGUAGUGACAAAUAGUUAUAACAAGAAAAGUAAUAUUUCUAACUCUAUUAUAUUGUUAAUAGAAGAUGUUUGGAAGAUAAUGCAAGACCUUAAUGUUUUUAUUUGUGGUUAUAUUUAUAAAGAAGUAAAUAAAACAACGGAUUGUUUAGUUAAAAAAAAAUAUCUGUAAUUUAGAGUGGUCAGAUUUUUUUUAUAGAUGUUAUAAAGUUUGGCUUUGAAGAUUGAUUUUUGAUUGAUUUUCACAGGAGACAUUAAUGACUUGUUUGGGUGUUGAAAUUUAGGGUUUUUGAUUGAUUUUUGGACAUUGAGGAUCAUAGAAAAUUGACUGAUCUUCAACAAAAGCUAUUAAUUAGAGUAUUGAUCAUAGGAUCAUAGACAAGUGAUAUCAAACCUUUGAAUAGCCCCAAAACUACACAUUAUUUCCAUCAGUAACUAAUAACAGGCCCAUUUUCAGAUCUUAGAACCCAAACAAAAUACUAGUCUUAUUUCAACAGCAAAGAAGAAAGAUGCUGUUCUAAUGCAAAAUUGGGUCAGUUGAUAAAAGGAUAUACAUAGCAACAUCAAUAGUUUCCCCUUUGACAAUGAGAUAUUUCCUAAGAACACCUUCCUUGAGGAACCCAGCCUUCUCCAAUACCCUAUGUGAGGCCUUAUUAUUCACAUCAACCAUACCUUCAAUUCUUUCCAGAUCCGGGAACUCCUGAAACGCACUUGAAACAGCCAUUUUCACGGCCAGUGUGGUUAUGCAUGGCACUUUCCCACCCAACUGCUCCAUCAGGUAAUUAAAAAAUUAAGUGUCAUUUUUCUAUGUAUCAUGACCAUCAAAAUAUUUGGAUGCGGGGCUCAGAGGGUAUUGCAGAAGACGUUCUUAUUUAAUCAUCUAUUUUUUAUUUUGUAAAUGUAAUACAUUGGUUCAAUAGAAACACGACCUAAUUAUGAAACAUGUAACACGCCAUGAGCUCCCCACAUGAGUGUGGCUUGUGGGCCAAGCAUCUCAUCUCUGAAAUCGUCCACUAAGGCGGCUAUGAUCUUCGGUUGCCCUGCUUGUAAAUCAACGUUCUUGCUGACCACUCAACCUCACGCAUGGUUCUUUAGAAUGGACCUUCUUUCUUAUCCAAUUUCAAGGCAACUUCUCUUCCUCUCCUGGAAAACUUUUCCUAUAUAAAUGCCAUAGAUUCAACAGCUUGAGACCACACCUCAUCUCUUCUUUGCCUUUCAUCAAAGCUUGACUACUUCAAUCGACUUUAGCGAAGGCUUACACAUGGAAGCGGAUGGAAAACAAGGCCAGGAGGGAUCCCCAGAGCUUUCCCUUCGGCCGCUGGAUCUUUCUGACAUAGAUGAUUUCAUGGUCUGGGCCACAGAUGACAAGGUGAGUCGUUUCUGCACUUGGGACACUUACACUUCCAAGGAAGCUGGCAUCGACUACAUCAAAAACAUCGUCAUUCCUCACCCAUGGUUCAAAGCAAUUUGCCUUGACAAUAAGGCGAUCGGGGCUAUUUCAGUGUCCGCAAACAAUGGCAACGAUCGAUGUAGAGGUGAACUUGGGUAUGCGCUAGCUUCCAAGUACUGGGGAAAGGGGAUUGUGACCAGGGCCGUGAAAAUGGUGGCUUCUACUAUAUUUAAUGAGUGGCCACAUUUGGAGAGACUGGAGGCGCUGGUGGAUGUGGAGAAUGGUGGGUCGCAGAGGGUGCUAGAGAAGGUUGGGUUCCAGAGAGAAGGUGUUCUUAGGAAGUUCGUUAUUCUGAAGGGCAGAUGUAGAGAUCUGGUGAUUUAUAGUCUCCUGUCUACUGAUCCCCAACCUUGAUUCUGUGUAUUUCAUGAUUUAUGUUUGUGCGAAUUCUACAUGGACAAUGUGGUUGAUUGAUGCUUUUUAUGCUUGUUACUGAAUUUUAGUAAUUUACCUGCCAAAAAUUGGUUGACUGUUGAUGUGAGAAAAUGGAAAAGUUCCAUUUGACUAGCUCCGGGUUCACAUGAGGUGAAGCCAUUUUUUGAUAAAUGGCUUGUUUGGGUGUUGAAAUUUAGGGUUUUUGAUUGAUUUUUGGACCUGGAGGAUCAUAGAAAAUUGACUGAUCUUCAACACAAGCUAUUAAUUAGAGUAUUGAUCAUGGGAUCAUUGGGCAACAACUGAUAUCAAGACUUUGAAUAGCCCCCAAACUACACAUUAUUUCCAUCCAUAACUAAUAACAUGCCCAUUUUCAGAUCUUAGAACCCAAAGAAAAAACUAGUCUUAUUUCAACAGAAAGGAAGAAAGAUGCUGAUCGUUCCCCGGCAUUUCCCCAUGGAAGAACCUGACAUAAUGGAAAUGAAUCCAAUUGGGCGGCCACCCAAGCAUAUGGCUCGGUACCAAUGGGUGGGGUAUGGCAUCCUCCUUCAGAUAGUACAAUGUAUCGUCCUUAGAGGAGUGGUGCCUCAGUCUGCAACUUCUGGUCACCUUAUUGUCACAGGCCCAUUCCAUGAAGACAUCUACAUCUGCAAGCUGAUAUGGACGCAGAGUGAAUUCCAUCGACCGAUCAAAUGUCGUUGAUGAUUGGGCUAGGUUGGAGGUCUAUCCAGAUGUGGUGUGAAGAGGUAAGGGAUAAUGUGGUGGGAAGAGAAAAGGGAUUUACAUAUAUAUAUAUAUAUAUGAUUACUAUGAAAAUACAUAUAUUUUGAUACAUAAGGGGCAUAAAAAGAUCUUUCGAUACGUCAAUUUGAAAAAUAGAGCAUGAAAACUAAAAUUAUCUUUAAAUACAAACUUUUUUUUUAAACUAAAAUUAUUUUUAAAUACAAACUUUUUUUUUUUUUUAAAUUUGAUGACAUAAAAUUACCUAAUGAAUUUUCUCUUUUAUGUGAGAUACAAUGUGUCAUUACUAAAUGUACCAUCACCUCGUUUUUGCACUUGCCAAGAUCGAUGGUAAUGCAUUUGCAUGUCUUAUACCAAAAUACACAUGAAAAGACAUGAGGAAAAAAGAAAAUCAAAAUUAGCACUAAGAACUAUAAAAAUGCAACAUAUACAUAUUGGAUAUAUGUAGUUUUAGUUUCAAUAAGGUCAUCUACUAUUGGUUCAUUUACACCUAGAAAUAUUUUAUCUCGACACAUAUCAAAAGCUUCAAACUAAGAAAGCAAAUCCAUUUUGACUGCUAAGGAUUGGGUGAGAAUAUUUUCCAAAGUUUUCUUCAAGAUUGCAUUUUAGUCUAAUAUUUAAUAUGGAAAAUUUAUUUGUCUACCAUGGUCAUCAAGAUAAGUAAGGGUAGAAUUAGAUCUUUAAUUGCCAUGCCACCUAAUCCUAUCCCCAGGUCGUAAGACUGAGUAUCUUUUUUAUAAUCAACUUGUGUCUACUUUACGUAAGGUGAUAUAAAAAACUUAUGGUAAAAUGACAAGGCAAAUCACAUCAUGAAAAAUGCAUAGAUUACAAGAAUGAAUUUUCAUAAGCUUAACCUAAUUUCUAUUUAUUAUAUCAAGGAUCUAACUUGUUAAAGUUGUGUUCUCUAAGUUAGAGAGAAUUGAUGGGAUAACACCUUUUAAAGUAUAUUUAAGAAAGGAAAUAAAUAAAUAAACUUUAAGUAAGAUUAACGUUAGUUGAAAUUAAAAUAGGAUUAGUAUUUGCUGGAGUAUUUAGAAUAGUAGUAGCUAAUUAUUAAAGUCAUGAUAGGUAAUUAGAAUUUUAGUAGAAUUUGGAUUUUUUAAAGAAGCUUAUAAAUAAGGUUAAUUGAUGUAAAAUCAAGAUAUUGCAAGUGUUACAAUUCUCAAUGAUCCUGACUCUAUUUUUUUUUCUUCUUCUAGAUAACAUUCCUAGAGGAUCUUAGUGAGAUUCUAAAGCUUAGUUUGAGAAGUGUUUUAAAAAACAAAUUGUGAAAAACAAUUUUUGAGAAUAAUUUUUUUAAAACCGCUUUUGAAAACUAUUCUUUGAUAUUUUGUAAAAUAAAAGUCUGUUUAAGUACCUAAGUUUUCUAUGUUUUUAAAUAUGUCUAAAUAAUAACUUUUGUGUGUAAUGCUUUAUUUUAAUCAUUCUCUAAAUUUGUAUAAUUGUUUUUCAAAAUAACCCUUAGAAAAAAAAUAACUAAAAGAUAUUAUCUAAAAACACUAUAUUUUUUUAUUUUUAAGAAUAUAAAAUUAUUUUUUAUUUUGAAGCACAAAAAAUCAUUUUUAAAAAAAAUAGAUUUUUUAUAUUUUUAUUUUCAAAUGUAUUUUUUAAGAGAAAUUAUUGAAUUUUAAAAAAAAAUUUAAGGAUUUUUUGCUAUAAAAAUGAUAAAAUUUCUAAUAAUUUUUCUUAUUAUUAUUUUUAAUUCUUUUUGUUAGCCCAAGGGUUCUCCUAAUCGGGUUUUGAUGAUAACAAACCAUGAUUAAGUAACUAAUUGGUUUAAUGCUUAAGAAUCUCAGGUAUAAACUCGAAAAUUCAUCAAAGGACCAAAUGGAUACAAGAUCGAGAUGCUUGGAAGACUUGAGAUCAUAGGAAACUAAUGUAAGAUGAAUGUAUGAGUGCACUUAGGAUUUUCAGACAUUUUCAUGCAUCUUAGAAAACUCGGUUUAUUCUUUAAAACGUCGACUUCAUUAAAACCUGAGUUUUUAACUAAUUUACCUUAGGCAAAAUGUUUCAAAAUUGGUUUAAUAAUUUACCUAAAGACCUUGCCUAAGUGUUAGAAAAGAAAGGAAUCAAAAAAUAGGUUUCUCGGGGCCAAAAAGGCUCAACCGAUCGAGGCUAUGGCCAACCGGUCAACCAGUUGAGGAACCGGUCGACCGGUUUAGGUUGUCCGGUCGAUGACCGGUCGAGGAAGGUUAAAAACCUUCUCUCUCUCCCAGCAGCCUUCUCUUCUCGGUCGAGGUUCGGGCGAGGUAACGGUAACCUGUCAUGCAUUAAAUGCUCCAACGGUUAGUGAACCGAUCGACCCCUAGCUCAACCAGGCGAGGUUGCCUUUUGCUGAUUUUGACUCCCGAGCUUAGAAACCUAUAAAUUGAGAGCUCCACUUCAUUUAUUGAUAAGAGAACACUUGCAUUCAAAGCCCACCUACCUGUUCUUGAUCAAAAAGCUCUCAUUUCUCUAAGUGCAUUAAAUCACCACUUGCAUAUCCUCUAGUGCACUCUUGUUGUCAUCCUAGCUUUGCCUUGUAUUUAAGCCAUCUUUAAGCUAGGUUGAGUGAGUAUAUUUUGUAACAAUCUGAGUGUUAAAGCCUUCAAGAGGGUUGAAUCUUGAAGAAGUUGUGUAAGAGCCCAUUGGAGCCGGAAUCUAAGUGUAAGAAGAUUGGAAGCUUGGUUGAAGCUUCAAGUUAGUGGAACUCUCACUCGGUUAGGAGGUUGAGGAGAGUGGACGUAGGCAAGGAAGUGCCGAACCACUAUAAACCCAAGUUUGAAUUCUCUCAACUCUAUCUCUUUACUUUGCUUAUAUUUUGCUUAAUUUUGUUGUGAUUGAAAAGAUUUUAAAAACCCAAUUCACCCCCCCCCCCCCCUCCUUUUGGGUGUUUUUCUUAACUAAACAUAGCCUUUGUUUUCUCAAUUGGUAUCAGAGCUAGACCUCUUCUUUUAAGACUUAAUCGUCAAAGAGGAAAUAACUAUUCCAUCAAGCUCAUCCCAAGCUGAAAUUUUUUCAAAACAUAGAGCUCCAUUCUUUACGGGAACCGACUAUCCCUAUUGGAAAACUAGAAUGACUUGGUAUUUGCAAUCUACUGAUUUAGAUGUAUGGGAUGUCAUUGAAGAUGACCCAACCUUUCCCACUAAACUAUGGAUGGUGUUUUGGUUCCAAAACCCAAACAAGAAUGGAAUGAGCUUGAUAGAAGAAACUUUCAAUUAAAUGUCAAAGUCGUUUUUACUUUGCAAUGUGCUAUGGAUAGAAAUGAAUAUAAUAGAAUAUGUCAAUGCAAAUCGGCCAAAGAAAUUUGGAGGUUGAUUGAAAUAACUCAUGAAGGAACUAAUCAAGUGAAAGAGUCAAAAAUCAAUUUACUUGUUCAUAAUUAUGAAUUGUUUUCAAUGAAAGAAACUGAGACUAUUGUUGAGAUGAUUACUAGGUUCACCGACAUUGUCAAUGGUUUUGAAGCUUUGGGAAAAACCUACAAGGAAUCCGAGAAGGUGAUGAAGAUAUUGAGGUCUCUCUCAUCUAAGUGGCAUACCAAGGUCACCGCAAUUCAAGAAGCAAAAGACUUGACUAAGCUACCUAUGGAAGAGCUCAUAGGGUCAUUAAUGACAUAUGAGAUCAAUUUGACAAAGAAGCUACAAGAGGGUGAAGACAAAAAGAAGAAGAGCAUAGCCCUUAAAGCUACAACCAAGGAAGAAGAAGAUGUUGAAGAAGAAAAGCCAAGUGAUGAAGAUGAUGAUCUAGCCCUCAUCACAAGAAAGCUCAAUAAAUUCACGAGAGAUGAAAGGUUUAGAGGAAGGAAAUUCACCUCUAGAAGGGAUUCCUCUAGAAGGGAUUCUUCAUCCCAUGGUGACAAGGAGAAAUGAGAAGAGAAAAGAGAAUUGACAUGCUUCAAGUGCAAAAAGCCGGGACACAUCAAAUAUGAUUGUCCUCUCUACAAGAGUGAAGCCAAGAGAAGAAUAAAGAAGGCAAUGAUGGCCACUUGGAGUGAAAGUGAAGAAUCCUCCGAAGAAGAAAAUGAGAAAGAAGUGGCAAACAUGUGCUUCAUGGCAAUAGAUGAUCUUGAUGAGGUAAACUCUAACUUUAGUGAUGAAGAUAUGCAUGAUGUUUUUGAAUAAUUAUAUGAGGAUUUUGAAAAACUUAGUUUGAAAAAUAAUUCUCUUAAAAAGAAAAUUCAAGAUCUAGAAAAGGAACUUGAAGAAGUGAAAGAAAAGUUUUCAAUUGAUGAAUUAUCUAAAACUCAUCUUGAAAAUGAAAAUGAGAUUUUGAAAAAGAAAAAUGAAUGGUUAACCUCAUCUCUUUCAAUUUUCUCUUGUAGACAAAAAUAUUUUGAAAUGAUCUUAGCUAGCCAAAAAUGUGUCUUUGAAAAAUAAGGGUUAGGAUUCAAAUCGUCAAAAAAUCAAAAGUAUUUUAAAAACUACUUUGUAAAAGAAUCCGCAAGUGCAAGUUCUUCCACCACUUGCAACUUUUGUGGAAGAGGAGGACAUAUUACUAGUACAUGUCCCUUAAGAAAUGGUACUCAGAAGAUUUCUAAUGCUAAAACUAAAAAGGUUUGAGUUGAAAAAUCCAAGGUCACUAACCCUCAAGGACCCAAAAAGAUAUGGGUACCUAAAUCAACUUGAAUUUUAUUUUGUAGAGAUCAAUGAAGGAUAAGUGGUUCUUGGAUAGUGGAUGCUCAAGGCACAUAACCGGGAAUGAAUCCAAGUUCGCUUUCCUUACAAAAAGAAAGGGAGGAUACGUUACCUUUGGAGACAAUUCAAAAGGAAGGAUCAUUGGUCAAAGCAACAUUGGUAAUGGCACAUCCUUUCUUAUUGAAAGUGUUUUAUUAGUUGAUGGUUUAAAACAUAAUCUUUUGAGCAUAAGUCAACUUUGUGACAAAGGUUUUAAAGUGAUUUUUGAAGCAUCUCAUUGCAUCAUCAAAGAUAUUCAAAAUGAUAAAACCAUCUUCAUGGGUCAUAGAUGUAAUAAUGUUUAUGCAAUAAAUAUUUCAAAAUAUGAUGGCCAUGAUAGAUGCUUUUCAAGCAUGCAUGAUCAAAGUUGGUUGUAGCAUAGGAGGUUGGGACAUGUUAACAUGGACCUCAUUUCCCAACUCAACAAAGAUGAACUUGUUAGAGGCCUUCCCAAAAUAAAUUUUCAAAAAGACAAAGUUUGUGAAGCUUGUCAAAUGGGAAAGCAAAUCAAAAACUCUUUUAAAAACAAAAAUUUCAUUUCAACAACUAGACCUCUUGAAUUGUUGCAUAUGAAUUUAUUUGGUCCCUCUAUGACACCAAGCCUUGGAGGAAAAUCUUAUACUUUUGUUAUUGUGGAUGACUUCUCUAGAUACACUUGGGUCUUAUUUUUAAGUCAAAAGAAUGAAGCCUUUUAUGAGUUUUCAAAGUUUUGCAACAAGGUUCAAAAUGAAAAAGGUUUUACAAUUACUUGUAUAAGAAGUGAUCAUGGGAGAGAAUUUGAAAAUAUUGAUUUUGAAUACUAUUGCAAUAAGUAUGGUAUUAACCACAACUUUUCGGCUCCUAGAACCCCUCAACAAAAUGGGGUAGUUGAAAGGAAAAAUAGAUAUCUUCAAGAAAUGGCUAGAACCAUGCUAAAUGAAAACAAUUUACAUAAAUAAUUUUGGGUCGAAGCCGUUAACACUUCUUGUUAUGUUUUAAAUAGAAUUUUAUUAAGGCCUAUUCUUAAGAAAACUCUCUAUGAGCUUUGGAAAAACAAGAAACCCAACAUUAGCUAUUUCAAAGUCUUUGGGUGCAAAUACUUUAUAUUAAACACCAAAGACAAUCUUGGAAAAUUUGAUGCAAAAUCGGAUGUUGGAAUUUUUCUUGGUUACUCAACUUCAAGUAAAGCUUUUAGAGUUUUUAACAAAAGAACCAUGGUAGUUGAGGAGUCCAUCCAUGUUAUUUUUUAUGAAUCUAACAAUUUUCUCCAAGAAAGAGAGAGCUUUGAUGAUGAUUUAGGCUUGGAGACCUCCAUGGGAAAAUUACAAAUUGAAGAUAGAAGGCAACAAGAAGAAGUUGUAGAAGAUACCAAGAAAGAGGAAUCACCUUUGGCACUACCUCCUCCUCAACAAGUGCAAGGUGAAUCAAGUCAAGACCUCCCUAAAGAUUGGAAGUUUGUCAUCAACCACCCACAAGAUCAAAUUAUAGGUAAUCUAUCAGUGGGGUAAGAACUAGAUCAUCCCUUAGAAAUAUUUGCAAUAAUAUUACUUUUAUCUCUCAAAUUGAACCUAAAAAUAUAAAAGAUGCUCUAGUUGAUGAAAAUUGGAUGAUUGUCAUGCAAGAAGAGUUAAACCAAUUUGAAAGAAGUGAAGUAUGGGAAUUAGUGCCAAUACCUCAAAAUCAAAGUGUUAUUGGAACUAGAUGGGUCUUUAGAAACAAAAUGGAUGAAAACGACAUAAUUAUAAGGAAUAAAGCAAGAUUGGUAGCCCAAGGUUUUAAUCAAGAAGAAUAGAUAGAUUAUGAAGAAACCUUUGUUCCCGUAACUAGAUUGGAAGCCAUUAGGAUGCUACUUGCCUUUACAUGUUUUAAAGACUUUGUUUUAUAUCAAAUGGAUGUGAAAAGUGCUUUCUUAAAUGACUUUAUAAAUGAAGAGGUAUAUGUUGAAAAACCACCCGGUUUUCAAAGUUUUAACUUUCCUAAUCAUGUUUUUAGACUUAAAAAGGCACUUUAUGGUUUGAAAUAAGCACCUAGAGCAUGGUAUGAAAGAUUGAGUAAAUUUCUUUUGAAAAAGGGUUUUAAAAUGGGAAAAAUUGACACAACUCUUUUCAUAAAAACCAAAGAUAAUGACAUGCUCUUAGUACAAAUAUACGUUGAUGAUAUCAUUUUUGGAGCUACUAAUGUUUCUCUUUGUGAAGAAUUCUCUAAAUGCAUGCAUAGUGAGUUCGAAAUGAGCAUGAUGGGAGAACUUAACUUCUUUCUUGGACUUCAAAUCAAGCAACUAAAGGAAGGAACCUUCAUUAAUCAAGCCAAGUAUAUAAGGGAUCUCCUCAAAAGGUUCAAUAUGGAGGAAGCCAAAACAAUGAAGACUCCAAUGAGUUCAUCCAUCAAGCUUGACAUGGAUGAGAAAGGUAAGCCCGUCAACUCAACUAUGUAUAGAGACAUGAUAGGUUCUUUGCUAUACUUGACCGCUAGUAGACCCGACAUCAUGUAUAGUGUAUGCUUGUGUGCUAGAUUUCAAUCUUGCCCUAAGGAAUCUCAUUUAAGUGCUGUAAAACGAAUUCUUAAAUAUUUAAAAUGAACUAUGGACAUAGGCCUAUGGUAUCCUAAGGGUGAUAACUUUAAAUUAAUUGGAUACUCGGAUGUCGACUUUGCCGGUUGUAAAGUUGAGAGGAAAAGCACUAAUGACACUUGUCAUUUCCUAGGACACUCACUUGUUUCGUGGCAUAGUAAGAAGCAAAAUUCGGUAGCCUUGUCUACGGCGGAAGCCGAAUACAUAGCAACCGGUUUAUGUUGUGCACAAAUCAUUUGGAUGAAACAAACACUUAGUAAUUUCAAUUUGAUUUUUGAGCAUGUUCCUAUAAAAUGUGAUAACACUAGUGCCAUAAAUAUUUCAAAGAAUCCGGUACAACACUCUAGGACUAAGCAUAUAGAGAUAAGACAUCAUUUUCUUAGAGACCAUGCACAAAAGAGUGACAUUACACUUGAAUUUGUAAGCACAAAAGAUCAACUUGCCGAUAUUUUUACAAAACCCCUAAGUGAAGAGCAAUUUGUUGAUAUUAGAAGACAACUAGGGGUGAUUUCUUUAUGAUAAAAUGAUUGCUUGAUGAAUUCUUGUUGAUAUUGCUCUUGAUAUACCCUAUGAUUGCGUGAAAUUUAUAUCAUAUGCAUCAUAUAGAAAUAAUCAUAGGAAAAAUGUCAAAAUUUGACCAAAAAUCAAAAUUCCUGUGGCAUUGGACAUAAAAAAUUGGGGAUUUCAACUGAAAAUGGCAAGAGGAGGAUCACGAGACAAGAAAAUGCAAGAAAAUUUGGAAAAAUUGAUCGUUGACCAUGCCGUUGACCGUUGACCGUUAACUAGGCGAUCGACCGGUUGAGGAACCGGUUGACCGGUUCGUCGGGGCUAAGAAUUUAAAACGCCCCCCGCACGCUUCAUUUCUCCCAUUUUCUCCUUCAGAGCUUGCCGUCCCUUCACAUCCCUGCUUCCAAAAGACUUUUUGGCCAGAUUUCGGACCGAUUGCAGGUUGAGGACUUGAUUUUGGGACAGAUUUGAGCUAGGGUUUUGGUUUGGAACCCAGGGUUUCACCUCUUGAGAGCGUCUCCUCUUUGCACCACGCAUCUCAAGGCUGUUCAGCUCCAUCUCCGAGCGUCUAGGGUUUCGGGUUGGUGGUUGCUUUUCCCUCUUUGCUUUCCUUCUCUCUUUGGACUUUUUUUUUCCUCUUUUGUUUCAUAGGAUGGCACUACGGAGAGAGACGGGCACUUCCAGGGCUUAGAGCAAGCGCCCUGCUGAACCAUCUCAGCCCGAGUAGACGGAGGCUCGUCAAAAGGCGAGGUUUGACACGACACUCUUCAGUUCGAAUGAAGACUAUCAGCGCUACAAGAAAAAAUUUGCUCAGAGGAAAGUCGUCCCAAGGAGAAGUGAAUUUCUCCCAACUUCAACACUUCGGGUUUGAGGGACUAUUCGGACGGAUGGGAUGACUGCCCGUAGUGACGAUCUCUGAGCCGAUCUUCCCGACUCUGGUACGAGCUUUCUAUUCUCGGGCGACCUACGGGCUUGGAGGACCCGUAUUAUCCACUAUGAGAGGCGUUGAGAUCCGCUUGAGUCCCGAGAGCAUCUGUCGUAUUCUCGACAUCCCUUCGAUUGGACUCCGUGUUUAUGAGGCCAAGACAUGGCCCACUGUGCCGGGAUUUGAGCCUAGAGAGGCUGUUCAGAGGUUGUGCGGACUUGCCGAUCCCUAGGGGAUGGGCAAACCAUCAGCUCACAGCUUGACAGUGACUAGCCGAGUCCUUCACCAUAUGAUCUGUUCGAUUCUCUUGCCACGUGGAGGACAUCGAGAUGAGGUCUCCUACCUCGAGGCUUUCAUUGUGGACUCGAUCCUCACCGGGAGACGGAUUCAUGUUGGAUACCUUAUGAUGAUGCAUAUGAUCUCUUGUGUUGAGAGCUUGACACGAGUACUCUCCUACGACCACUUCUUUACCCGUGUUGAGCAGAGAGACAGAUUUUAAGGCCCCCACCACCUAUGACACGUAUGAUGAGCAGUCUCUGGGGCGCAUGAAGUUCGAGAAGGCACCCGAUGGCUCCUGGGUUAGGAAAGCCGAGCGACAGGCCCGGGGACAUGAUCAGAUACACCCCGGAGUAGAGGAGGAGGUCGAGAUCAGAGAGAUGGAGGAUGGGUUGGACCUUCAGAGAUACUUUGAGUAGAGAGGGCCCGAACUUGACAUUCCGCCUCCACAUCAGUCAGAGGGCAUUCAUGUUGAGGCUACCUUCUUCGAGCCUAUGAUGAUUGAGUCGUCUUUCCCAGCAGGCCCUUCAUCUCAGCCAUCAUUUACCGAGCUACCAUCUCAGGCACCUCAUGUUCCUGAUCAUGCGCCUUUGAUGGAUCUCUCCGCGUAGAUUAGUUCUCUUGGGACUCGUAUGGAGGAGCUUGCCCUAGUCCAUGACUCCUGCUUCUACUCUAUGGAAGAGCAUCUCGAUUAGUAUCAGACUAGAGUCACCUCUCGGUUUGAUCACUUCCAGCAACGAUUUGAGCGCAUAGAGGAGCGUAUGGAUCAGCAGCAGGCUACCUUCGACCAUCUCGAGCAGCGCAUGAAUCGUAUUGAGAGCCGUUAGGCAAGUCAGCAUGAGGAGAUGAUAACAUAUCUCUGCUCUGUGUUUCCUCCUCCACCCCCUCAACCUUGAGACUAUCUAGACAUCCUCCUUCAUUUCUUUUUUAUGUUGCCAAAGGGGGAGAUAUUUAUAGGAUCUAGGAUCUAUAGGAUCUAGGAGACUUUCAUGCAUGUCACAUGUUAUCAUUGUCAUAUCUAUCUUAUUAUACAUGUGAGAUUUCCUUAUAUAUAUGACAUGAUAUUUUUAUCCAUUGAUUUUUCGUGUUUUACAUUGCUUAUCGUUUGAUUGAUCUAUGAUUGGUUUGAGGGGGAGAUUUCUUUCUUUCCUAGAUAACCAAGGUUUGUCAUCAUAAAAAAGGGGGAGAUUGUUAGCCCAAGGGUUCUCCUAAUCGGGUUUUGAUGAUAACAAGUCAUGGUUAAGUAACUAAUUGGUUUAAUGCUUAAGAAUCUCAGGUAUAAACUCGAAAAUUCAUCAAAUGACCAAAUAGAUACAAGAUCGAGAUGCUUGGAAGACUUGAGAUCAUAUGAAACUAAUGUAAGAUGAAUGCAUGAGUGCACUUAGGAUUUUCAUACGUUUUCAUGCAUCUUAGAAAACUCGGUUUAUUCUUUAAAACGUCGACUUCAUUAAAACCCGAGUUUUUAACUAAUUUACCUUAGGCAAAAUGUUUCAAAAUUGGCUUAAUAAUUUACCUAAAGACCUUGCCUAAGUGUUAGAAAAGAAAGGAAUCAAAAAAUAGGUUUCUCGGGGCCAAAAAGGCUCAACCGGUCGAGGCUAUGGUCAAUCGGUCAACCAGUUAAGGAACCGGUCGACCGGUUUAGGUCGUCCGGUCGAGGACCAAUCGAGGAAGGUUAAAAAAAUUCUCUCUCUCCCAGUAGCCUUCUCUUCCUGGUCGAGGUGUUUCCUUUACCGGUUGAGGUCUGGUCGAGGUCCGAUUAAGGCAACGGUAACCUGUCAUGCAUUAAAUGCUCCAACGGCUAGUGAACCGGUCGACCCCUAGCUCAAUCGGACGAGGUUGCCUUUUGCUGAUUUUGACUCUCGAGCUUAGAAACCUAUAAAUUGAGAGCUCCACUUCAUUUAUUGAUAAGAGAACACUUACAUUCAAAGCCCACCUACCUUUUCUUGAUAAAAAAGCUCUCAUUUCUUUCAUAAGUGUAUUAAAUCACCACUUGCAUAUCCUCUAGUGCACUCUUGUUGUCAUCCUAGUUUUGCCUUGUAUUUGAGCCAUCUUUAAGCUAGGUUGAGUGAGUAUAUUUUGUAACAAUCUGAGUGUUAAAGCCUUCAAGAGGGUUGAAUCUUGAAGAGGUUGUGUAAGAGCACAUUAGAGCCGGAAUCCAAGUGUAAUAAGAUUGGAAGCUUGGUUGAAGCUUCAAGUUAAUGGAACCCUCACUCGGUUAGGAGGUUGAGGAGAGUGGACGUAGGCAAGGAAGUGCCGAACCACUAUAAACCCAAGUUUGAAUUCUCUCAACUCUAUCUCUUUACUUUGCUUAUAUUUUGUUUAAUUUUGUUGUGAUUGAAAAGAUUUUAAAAGCCCAAUUCACCCCCCCUCCCCUUUUGGGUGUUUUUCUUAACUAAACAUAGCCUUUGUUUUCUCACUUUUGAAAUAUUCCUUUAUAUUUUCUUUAUUUUUUUUUCAUAAAAUCUAAAACUUUAUUUCAAUGUCCUUAAUGUUUUAGUUGUUUAAUUUUAAAUAUUUUUAUAAUUAAUAUUAAAAAUUACUUAAACAUUACAAUUUAUAGAGUGUGACUAUCGUAUAUUAUUUGAGUUAAUUUCGCUAAUAUCCUUUAAUGUUUAGUAUAAAUAUAUUAAGCCAACAUCAAUUUUCAAAUUUCAUCUAUUAACACUCCUACAAAUAUAUUUGAUAUAUCAAAUUUCCUUUUUAGAAAAUUGUUAAAUAUACAUGUUUAAAAUCUUUUUACCUAAAAUUUCUUUAAAAACUAAAUUUUAUAAAUAUAAUAAAUUUAUAAGAAUACUAAUUAAUGAAAUUUAAAUCAAUAAUAAAUAAAUGUAUUUACAUCAAACCUCUUUUGGUUAUACCACUGGCUAUCCUAAUUGAGAAAACUACUUCUAACUUUCAAAAUCUACAAGAGUAUGUGAUUGAUCUCAUCUUCAGAAUGAAAGAUACUAAGUCUCUUGAGUGGUUGAAAAAUAGAUUUGUUAGAUUCCUCCAAUUAAUGGAAAUUUCAAAUUAAAUUUUAAUGAUUCAAGGGUGGAGAAUAGUAAGUGCAUCAUGAUGGGUUAUUAGAGAUUCUAAUGGUAUAAUAAAAAUAGUUGCAAGUAGGCAUAUGAACAAUGCGUCAAUAAUUACUACAUAAUGUAUGACUUUUAGAAAUGAUGCGUUAGUUGUUAAGAACAAUGAGUUCUUAAAUCUAAAGACAGAAGGUGAUUUCAUAAAAGUAGUAACAAAUAGUUAUAACAAGAAGAGUAGUAUUCCUAACUCUAUUAUAUUGUUAAUAUAAGAUAUUUGGAAGAUAAUUCAAGACCUUAAUGUUUUUAUUUGUGGUUAUAUUUAUAGAAAAAAAAAUAAAACAAUAGAUUAUUUAGUUAAAAAAAAGUAUUUGUAAUUUAGAGUUUUUCACUUGGAGGUCAGAUUUUUUUAUAGAUGUUAUGAAGUUUGGCUUUGAAGAUUGAUUUUCACAGGAGACACUAAUGACUUGUUUGGGUGUUGAAAUUUAGGGUUUUUGAUUGAUUUUUGGACAUCGAGGAUCAUAGAAAAUUGACUGAUCUUCAACAAAAGCUAUUAAUUAGAGUAUUGAUCAUAGGAUCAUAGACAAGUGAUAUCAAACCUUUGAAUAGCCCCAAACUACACAUUAUUUCCAUCAGUAACUAAUAACAUGCCCAUUUUCAGAUCUUAGAACCCAAACAAAAUACUAGUCUUAUUUCAAC